This 2315-nucleotide long non-coding RNA is filed under the name Homo sapiens (human). Its description in RNAcentral is "HSALNT0379803". The record is from RNAcentral. Lineage: Eukaryota; Metazoa; Chordata; Mammalia; Primates; Hominidae.
AGAGGCGUCAGGAUCCCUGGCGCCGCCUGAGCCAGCGGCUGCUAGGAGGCUGUGUCCGCAAGCCAGCGGGGCGAGGCGGCUGGGCCCUGCGCGUCAGGUCCCGGCCUGGGGCACCGGGGCUGCCAGCGUCGGAGGAGGCCUGAGAACUGGGAGGAAGCUGGAGAAAAGAUGCCCUCUGAAUCUUUGUGUUUGGCUGCCCAGGCUCGCCUUGACACCGAAUGGUUGAAAACAGAUAUACAGAUGAUAGUGUCGAACCAAGUGGAACAAAGAAAGAAGAUCUGAAUGACAAAGAGAAAAAAGAUGAAGACGAAACUCCUGCACCUGUAUAUAGGGCCAAGUCAAUUCUGGAGACCUGGGUGUGGGUCAAGCAACCAGGAAACGGAAGCCCAAAGAGGAGGGGAGCUUACAGCAGGCCCUGGACUAGGGAUUAACACAAAAACAACAGCAACAAAUCUGAUUUAAGCUUCACACAUGAGACCGGCCAGCCAAGACUCACAUCCUCAGGCGAGUGGCAGCCCCCCGAAGUGGUUGUCUCAGGGUUAGUGCCAUGAUUUAUUUUCUUCUUUUUGGUGUCGGUUGCUCCGGUACCAACACCAGCAAUGUUCCACUGACGAUAGUCUGUGAACUGUGGAAAAGAGGAGCAGUGAUACUCAUGAGAACUACAAGCUCCUACAGUCACUUUACAGUUUAUACAAAAUACUCUCAUAGACGAUCUGAUUUAAUGCCACCAACGACUGUACGAGGUGUUGUCGCAAUCACUUAGUGACUGAGAGGGAUUGAUACCAUGGCUAAAAGAAAGGCAAUAAUGGAACUGAAACUCAGUCUUCUGACUCUGAGCUCUGGGGUGUUGCCACAAAUCAGCAGCUGCCAGAGACCAAAACCAGAGGCAGAGGUAGGAAAGUAAAAAGUAGGCAGGAAGGUGUACACUGUGUGGUUUACAGUCGUACAUCCUCUUAGAGUUAUGUAUCCUCAGGGCAGAAGGCAGCCUUUCUGUUAAAUGUGGGAAUUAAACAGAAAGAGGACAACCCAAGCUGCAUUUCAGAGAGAAGUCUUGUAUACUCUUUGAAAUCUAUGUGCCUAUCAUCCCUAAGAACAUUAAUGUUUUGUCUCUCCCACGAGAAUCAAGGGAAACUGAUGCUUCAGAAAGAUGCCCCAUCUGUAUCCUGUGGCACUCAAAGUACCCCAGGUUGAGAUGAGAUGAGGAAGAUUCAAGUUGUCAAGUCCAGUUUCCCAAGAUCUCUUGCACAGAAGAUGAGCAAAUCUCACUUCAAAGAUCACUGACUGAUGGGCACUCUGGUCCCAGAACCAUGGAGAAUUCAAAUAUGAGUCUGGCUCUGUUAUCCAGGCUGGAAUGCAGUGGCGUGAUCUCAACUCAUUGCAAGCUCCACCUUCUGGGUUCAUGCCAUUCUCCUGCUUCAGCCUCCUGAGUAGCUGGGACUACAGGCGCCCAACACCACACCUGGCUAAUUUAUUGUAUUUUUUAGUAGAGACGGGGUUUCACCUUGUUAGCCAGGAUGGUCUCGAUCUCCUGACCUCGUGAUCCACCCGCCUCGGCCUCCCAAAGUGCUGGGAUUACAGGCUUGAGCCACCACGCCCAGACUUGUGAGGUUUUAAUAUGAAGUAUUAAAGCUAUGCUGGUUAGACAAUUUGGAAAAUGUUUCUUCUCCUAUUUCUGACAGAGUUUAUGUAAGAUGUGUGCUAUUUCUUCCUUAAGCAUUUGGAAAGAAUUCACUUAUUAAGCCAUGUGAGACUGUAGUUUUCUUUAUAAGGUGUUUAACUACAGGUUCAAUUACAUAUAUAUAAAUAUUCAUUUUGGUAACCUGUGUUUGCUGAAUCAAUUUGUUCAUUUUAUCGAAAAUUUCAAAGUUAUUCUAUUAUUCAUUUAUCUUUUUAAUACUUAUAAAGUCUCCGGUUAGAGUUUGUGCCUUUUGUCUGUUUUGUUAAUCAAUCUUGCUGGAGGCCAUCAAUUUUAUUAGUGUUUCAAAAAAGCAAACUUUGAUUUUAUUCAUCCCUUUACCAUACUGAAAAUGUUUUGCUUAAUUUCCAAACUUAUAGUUCCACUGUGAUUAAAUAUUUGUAUAACUAAAACUCUGUGGAAUUUGUGUCUUCUCAAUGAUUGAAAAUAUGAUUAAUUUUUAUAAAUAUUGCUUCUGCACUUGAAAAGGAUAUGUAUUCUGCAUGUUGAGCGUAGUGUACCACGUAUCUCAGUUAGGUCCAGUGUGUUAAAUGCAUCCUUUAAAGAUUCUAUGUGCUUACUGAUGUUUGUUUAUUUUUCAGUGGCUGAGACACAGAUAUUAAAGUUUCCCACAAUGAUC